GAUGGGCAGAAUCAACAUUGUUAAAAUGUGUAUACUAUCCAAAGUGAUCUACAGAUUCAAUGCAAUCCCCCUUUCUUUUUGGCAGUGCGUGGUGGCAAGAUGGUGGUACAGAUCUCCAAAAAGAGGAAGUCUGUCGCUGAUGGCAUCUUCAAAGCUGGACUGAAUGAGUUUCUUAUCGGGAGCUGGCUGAAGAUGGUGGCUACUCUGAAGUUGAGGUCCGAGUUACACCAACCAGGACAGAAAUCAUUAUCUUCGUCACCAGAGCACAGAAUGUUCUUGGUGAGAAGAGCCAGCACAUUUGGGAAUUGACCACAGUAGUUCAGAAGAGAUUUGGCUUCCCAGAGGAAGAGCUUUAUGCUGAAAGGGUAGCCAUGAGAGGUCUGUGUGCCACUGCUCAGGCAGAAUCUCUGUGUUACAAAUUCCUUGGAGGGCUUGCUGUGCAGAGAGCUUGCUAUGGUGUGCUGCGGUUCAUCAUGGAGAGUGCAGCCCAGGGCUGUGAGGUCGUGGUGUCUGGGAAACUCCGAGGACAGAGGGCUAAGUCCAUGAAGUUUGUGGAUGGCCUGAUGAUUCACAGUGGGGACCCUGUUAACUAUUACAUUGACACUGCCAUGCGCCAUGUGCUGCUCAGACAGGGUGUGCUGGGCAUCAAGGUGAAGAUCAUGCUACCCUGGGACCCUACUGGUAAGACUGGCCCUGAGAAACCUUUGCCUGACCACGUGAGCAUCGUGGAACCCAAAGACGAGAUACUGCCUACCACUCCCAUCUCAGAACAGAAGGGUAGGAAGCCAGAGCCGCCUGCCAUGCCCCAGCCAGUCCCCAUGGCAUAACAGGGUCUCCUUGGCAGCUGUAUCUGGAGUCUGGAUGUUCCUCUGUAAAGACAUUUAAUAAAGUCUUGUACAAAGACACAAGGCG
Molecule: non-coding RNA, 912 nt
Organism: Microcebus murinus (gray mouse lemur)
Lineage: Eukaryota; Metazoa; Chordata; Mammalia; Primates; Cheirogaleidae
Source: RefSeq, a predicted model, not a curated record